GAUGAACGCUGGCGGCGUGCCUAAUACAUGCAAGUCGAGCGAACAGACGAGGAGCUUGCUCCUCUGACGUUAGCGGCGGACGGGUGAGUAACACGUGGAUAACCUACCUAUAAGACUGGUAUAACUUCGGGAAACCGGAGCUAAUACCGGAUAAUAUAUUGAACCGCAUGGUUCAAUAGUGAAAGACGGUUUUGCUGUCACUUAUAGAUGGAUCCGCGCCGCAUUAGCUAGUUGGUAAGGUAACGGCUUACCAAGGCAACGAUGCGUAGCCGACCUGAGAGGGUGAUCGGCCACACUGGAACUGAGACACGGUCCAGACUCCUACGGGAGGCAGCAGUAGGGAAUCUUCCGCAAUGGGCGAAAGCCUGACGGAGCAACGCCGCGUGAGUGAUGAAGGUCUUCGGAUCGUAAAACUCUGUUAUUAGGGAAGAACAAAUGUGUAAGUAACUAUGCACGUCUUGACGGUACCGAAUCAGAAAGCCACGGCUAACUACGUG
RNAcentral lists this ribosomal RNA (497 nucleotides) under uncultured bacterium. Its description in RNAcentral is "partial 16S ribosomal RNA". It matches the Rfam family "Bacterial small subunit ribosomal RNA", at positions 28 to 507 of the family's 1533-position model. The record is from RNAcentral.